UAAUGCAGUCGAGCGAAUGGAUUAAAGCUUGCUCUUAUGAAGUUACCGGCGGACGGGUGAGUAACACGUGGGUAACCUGCCCAUAAGACUGGGAUAACUCCGGGAAACCGGGGCUAAUACCGGAUAACAUUUUGAACCGCAUGGUUCGAAAUUGAAAGGCGGCUUCGGCUGUCACUUAUGGAUGGACCCGCGUCGCAUUAGCUAGUUGGUGAGGUAACGGCUCACCAAGGCAACGAUGCGUACCCGACCUGAGAGGGUGAUCGGCCACACUGGGACUGAGACACGGCCCAGACUCCUACGGGAGGCAGCAGUAGGGAAUCUUCCGCAAUGGACGAAAGUCUGACGGAGCAACGCCGCGUGAGUGAUGAAGGCUUUCGGGUCGUAAAACUCUGUUGUUAGGGAAGAACAAGUGCUAGUUGAAUAAGCUGGCACCUUGACGGUACCUAACCAGAAAGCCACGGCUAACUACGUGCCAGCAGCCGCGGUAAUACGUAGGUGGCAAGCGUUAUCCGGAAUUAUUGGGCGUAAAGCGCGCGCAGGUGGUUUCUUAAGUCUGAUGUGAAAGCCCACGGCUCACCCGUGGAGGGUCAUUGGAAACUGGGAGACUUGAGUGCAGAAGAGAAAGUGCAAUUCCAUGUGUAGCGGUGAAAUGCGUAGAGAUAUGGAGGAACACCAGUGGCGAAGGCGACCUUUCUGUUCUGUAACUGA
This 708-nucleotide ribosomal RNA is filed under the name Bacillus cereus. Its description in RNAcentral is "bacterial SSU rRNA". It matches the Rfam family "Bacterial small subunit ribosomal RNA", at positions 52 to 743 of the family's 1533-position model. The record is from RNAcentral. Lineage: Bacteria; Bacillati; Bacillota; Bacilli; Caryophanales; Bacillaceae.